Non-coding RNA from Podarcis lilfordi (Lilford's wall lizard), 2721 nucleotides. Lineage: Eukaryota; Metazoa; Chordata; Lepidosauria; Squamata; Lacertidae. The record is from the annotation of a GenBank genome assembly.
UGCCUACCCCUGAGAUAGAGCCUUCUACUCCCUCUCCCAUAAUGCCUUGCACCAGCCAUGAGACUAGCUAUGUACAGUGGUACCUCUGGAUACGAAGGGGAUCCGUUCCGGAGCCCCGUUCGCAUCCAGAAGCGAACACAACCUGUUUUUGCGCGGGUCACGAUUCGCCGCUUCCACGCAUGCACGUGAUGUCAUUUUGACCGCCUGCGCAUGCGCGAGAGGCAAAACCCGGAAGUAACGCGUUCCGUUACUUCCGGGUCGCCGCGGAGCGCAACCCGAAAGCACUCAACCUGAAGCAACUUCAACCUGAGGUAUGACUGUAUAACUAAGCUGUGUUGCAAAAUGUUGCAGAGGCCUCUGGACAUUCCUUUCUUGAGCAAUCUUUGUCAGUCUUUCUGUGAACUUCCUGCAAACUGAAUUUCACAUCUUCUUUCACCUUACUUCCUCAUUAAAGCAUCAGACUUACAAGAAAUUAGUGCUUUUUCAGGUAAGGCGGAAACAUACUCUUUCUGAAGGAUGUCUUUAUUACUUUAUUGUUGGUUUCUAUAGAGCUAAGGAAGCCGCUAUCAAUGUGUAUCUUUCAAGGAGACAUUGCUUUAUUACUCAGAGAACCUUGGGUUUAUUACCCAAUACACACACAAAUAACCCGAUGUGUGGGAAUUCUUGUACCUCAGUCCUAACAGACUUUCUUGGAAUUUAACAACACUGAUGAUUUGCAGAUACAUUUGCUUAACAGGAAGGGCCAUAAUAAAUUCAUUAAACACAUGUUUUUAGAAAAACAUCCGUACUUCAACUUCUGGCAUCUCCAGGUAGGGCAGAGGAAGACUCCUGUGUGAGUCUUUGCUUUGCUGUGCAGUGUAGACCAGGAACAGGAAACCUCAGCCCUGAGGGCCACCUGCGGCCCUCCAGUUCUCUCUACCUGGUCCUCAGGACUCUCCCCAGCCUACUCCCUCUCUCCAGGCCACACCCCUUGUUGGUCCUGUUCCCCCCCACUUCUCAAGUGCCUUUGCCUGGCUGGAAUUUGCCCUCCCAUUUUCUGGGAUGGAGAAAUGUUGUGGAGCCAGGGAGUUUGGGAUGAAACCUAUUCAAUUAUUUUUAAAACUUAAAUAUCACUUUUCAUUUAUAAACUUUGCAUAAACCUCAAAGCAAUUCUCAAUAUAUACACAUAAAACUAUUACAAUCAUUAAGUAACAACAAUGAAACAUCCAUCAUAUAAUUUCCGCAACUACAGCAACCAGAAGAAGAAAAAAGAUGUUUGCUGUCUUAUUAUGUUUUAUAUGUGCUGGAAGCUGCUCAGAGUGGCUGGGAAAACCCAGCCAGUUGGUUGGGGUAUAAAUAAUAAAAGUAUUGUUGUUGUUUUAGUAGUAGUAGUAGUAGUAGUUGUUGUUGUUGUUGUUAUGUUCCAGACACCAAACUGUUUUUGCACUUGCUCUGCAAACCGGAUUCAACAGGUGCAAACCAUAGUUUACCAGUCUGGACAAAGCAGCAAACAUUAGUUUGUCUGAAACCAGGAUUAGAAGAAAGAAAUUGUCACAUGCCCAGGGCUCAUCACUGUGUGGUUUACAGGAAUCCAGUGCUCCUGAAUUUUUUGAACAGACAAGUUCUAUGAAAAAGGAAUAGGUGAAUGGAAAGGUUAAGGCAAUAAAUACACUGGAAAGAUGUUUUUAUCAUACAGUGUUUAAAAUAAAUAUUUGGCACAAUACAGCCAAAAUUAAUCACUUUUACAGCAGUUUGAUUCUUUGGAAUGAAAUCAAUACGUAUAAAUGUGUCCUGUUACAUUUAAUGUGCUUGGAAAAUGAUUAAUUUUGUCUCGAAUGUUCUCCACUGAUUUCCAGAAAAUCCAUUUAAAAUCUGCAUAUGUUUGAAAUGCACAUGAAGUUCUGUUCACAAGCAAAAUAUUGGAAGUGAAAAGAAGAACAAGGUUUGGGAGGAAAUGGGGGAAUCUGAAGAGUGGAAACUGAUCACAUGUUUCAAUUUACCAAGUAUGGAAACUAUAGUUAAACUGAAAGAAGCAUAUAAAAAUUUGAUCUGGGAAGUCUUGUUUUCUCUAAGGGGCAGAUAUAUAUCCACAUCCAAAUAAUAAAAAGACACUAUUUUCUUUUCAAAGAUCCAUCCUAUCACUCUUUAGUUUAGACAAACUCUCCAUAGGUCUUCAAGAAAGUCUAUUCCAGUGUAUUUGCUUCCCAGUCUCUAGAUGGCAAUGUUGCCUCAGACAUACUCACCACUGAUGCUUUGUCCAUAGAUGCUUUGUUUGUUUGUUCUUCUGAAGGACUCAGUCCUUCCUUAAUAAGAAACUGAUCCUGCCAGGAUUUCUGCACGUGACUGCUUUUGUACACAAGAGUAAUCUCACCAAGCUCGACACAAGUCCUCGCGUGCAUCUGUUUUGACAAGAUCAGGGUUGAAAGUUCUGGACUGACAACCAUGGAGACUAAAUCCUCUGUUCACCCAGAGAGCAGGUGCAGAGGCAGCAACGGCAGAUGCAACACAAGCUUCCUCUUCUUCAUUCUCCAGCAAACCCAACAGUGAGAUUGUGGCUGUAAUUGUUUUUGAGAAUCAGAAAGUACGACAAUUGAGGAAUUAUACCCAGGAGAGAGAAAAAGUGAAGAAUGAGUGACAAGCGAGGUGUUCUGUUGGAAACAAUGCAGAAUAAUGUGAGAUGUGGAAGGAAAGCUUUAGCAAGGGAUCAAGGAUAAUAAUCUAAAAUCAUCACAUCAGUGAUUC